GAACGGCUAUGCACUGCACAACCCUAGGAGGGGGUGCCAUUCACAUUGACUAUAAUUGAAUGGCGCCACUAGGGUUGUGCAGUGCACAACCUGCAC
Molecule: microRNA precursor, 96 nt
Filed under: Microtus ochrogaster (prairie vole)
Lineage: Eukaryota; Metazoa; Chordata; Mammalia; Rodentia; Cricetidae
Description: microRNA 652 (ENSMOCG00000005997.1)
Rfam family: mir-652 microRNA precursor family (bases 8-89)
Source: RNAcentral